Molecule: long non-coding RNA, 9424 nt
Filed under: Nicotiana tabacum (common tobacco)
Lineage: Eukaryota; Viridiplantae; Streptophyta; Magnoliopsida; Solanales; Solanaceae
Description: long non-coding RNA (NTAB_LNC008487)
Source: RNAcentral
ACAACGAUACAGAUAGCUCGGCUAUUAGAGUACUCUGAAGCGAGUGGAUCGGGAAUGCCAACUCCUACAGCAAUUGACAUUGUACGAGGGAUUCGCAGCUCGCAAAUGGGUAAACCCUUGUCUUUUGUUCCUCCAAUUGAUAGAGAUGGUAAACGAGUUGUUACUGAAUGAGGGGGAUUUACAAUCUCAGGCAGAUUAUUGAAAAACCUCUCUAAUUGGGUACAUAAUUGGAGAAAAUCCUUAUGAAAAGGCUAUGGAGAAUUUUUUUUUUGAAUGUGUGGAAUUUUAUUACUAAACCUCAAGUAGUAAUCUAUUUUGAGGGAUAAUCUUCAAAUUUCACACCAUAGCUGAUAAGGACCAAGUUCUCCAGUCAGGGCCAUAUACAUAUAGGAUAAACCAAUGUUGCUAAGGCUAUAGAAAAUUGAUUUCUCAUUUAGCGAAAACAUAAUAAGCAUAAUGCAAGUUUGGGUGAGAUUCCCUGGGCUAAUAGUAGGAUAUUGAUCGAUUGAGGCUCUACGCAAAAUGGCUAGUGUGGUGGGCAAGCCCCUAUACACUGAUAAAUUUAUUGCUUAUUAUGAGAAGAUAUCCUAUGCUAGGGUUCUUGUGGAGGUAGAUGUUGCAUAUCCUCUUUCAGCCCAGAUGGAAAUAGAAUCACAUUUUGGCCCAAUGGUUUAGACUAUUGAAUAUGAUUGGAGGCCUGUGUUCUAUAAUGACUAUUUGAAAUUUGCUCUUGAUUCUUUUGACGGCUGGCAAAACAAAAGCUGUAAUGAAAAGGAGGACAACCAUGAAAGGGGAAAGCCAAGAAGGAAGAGAAGAAGAGCAAAGAAGAUAGCUAGGACCGUGAAGCAAACAUGGAUGGUGAAAAAGCAGAAGUAAAUGCUGAAAUAGAGCCAGAACCACAGAGGAAGGAAGCCCUGCAAGCAGAACCUACUUAUGUGCCUGAUUGCACUGAGAUGGUUAGGAAGAGUAUAGAGCCUGUAAAGAAAAAUACUCAUAUGCCAUGUCAGACUAAAGAAGGGGUCAACCUGCAGAAUGUCACAUGCUGCAAUCCUGUGAGUGGAAUGCUAGCUUGCAACCAUAAAAGGAAGGCAGCUGUUGAGCUAAGGUAUGAGGGAAGAGGAGGGCAACAGGAGGAUCCAGGUCCAACAUGCUCUCCAAAUCACAACCCUAAAUAAUCAUUGCCACUUGGAAUAUUAGGGGCCUGAAUCAGGACCAUAAGUAGAAGGAGGUAAAGACCUUUCUGUCUAAAAUAAGGUAGAUAUAAUGGGGUGCAUUGAAACCGCAGUAAAAGAACAUAUGGCUAAAAAAUACAAAAAAGAUAUCUUAGGGGUGGAAUGUUUACUACAAUUAUCCUUGUGCUGUAAUUGGUCAAAUUUGGAUUCUAUGGAGAGCACAUAUACAACGUCAGAUUAUUCAAACUAUAGAUCAAUAUAUCUAUUGUCUAGUGGAGGAUACGAGAACUCAAAUUACCACAUAUCUAAGUAUCAUAUAUGCCCAUAAUGAUGGUCAUCAAAGGAAGAUUUUAUGGAGGGAUCUUAAACAGAUAAAUAUGCAGGCUCAGUUGCCAUGGCUGCUUAGUGGAGAUUUGAACAGUGUUCUAUCUUCUGAGGAUAGAAUAGGGUCCCACGUAACCAUUGUUGAAGCAAAGGGAUUCAAAGAUGUGAUUGAUUUUCUACAGUUUACUCCUCUUAGAGCUAAAGGAUGGCAUUUCAUUCGGACAAACAAACAAGGUACUAGUUCAAGAGUAUAUAGCAAGAUAGAUUGGGUUUUGGGGAACUAUCAAUAAAUACAACAAUAUGGUCACGAGGAGACAAAUUUCUUGAAUACUUCAGUCUUUAAUCACUCCCCUAUCCUAAUAAAAUAUGGUGGGCAAAAAUUAUUACAUCCUAAACUACUUAGACUAUACACAAAUUCCAUGAAACUUCCAACAUUCCAGAAUAUUGUUCAGCAUGUUUGGACUCAGAAUUGUGAUUGCUCAUCUAUGCAACAGGUCUGGUGCAACCUAAAAGCUAUGAAGAUGCAGCUGCAAGAUUUUAAUGCUUAUAUGGCUUCAUACAAACAAAUAAUUGAGCAGGCAAGAGAGAGAUUGGUUAUUAUUGGGGACUAGUUCAGCAGGAUCCUUGUAACGACUCGGACGGUCGUUUCGAGAGUUUAGCCAUGUUCCCCUGUUUUCCUGCUUCUUUUGUAUUCUACAACUAUAUUAUGACUUACCGGGAUAAUUGGUUCGAGUAUGGAGUAAUUUCAGAGUGAAUUGAGACACUUAGUCUUUUAAUUGGAAGCUUAAGUUGGAAAAAGUCGACUAGAUAUCGACUUAUGUGUAAACAACUUUGUAUUUGAAUUUAGAUGGUUCCGUUAGCUCCGUUAGGUAAUUUUAGACUUAGGAGAACAUUCGGAAUAUGAUUUGGAGGUCCGUAGCAGAAUUAGGCUUGAAUAGGCGAAAGAUGGAAUUUUGGCGAAUUUGACCGGUAGUGGAAAUUCUAAUAUCGGGGUUGGAUUUGAUUUUCGGGAAUUGGAGUAGGUUUAUAGUAUUAUUUAUGAAGUGUGUGCAAUAUUUGAGGUCAAUCGGACAUGGUUUGAUAGGUUUCGACUUCGUUUGAAGAAUUUGAAAAUUUAGAAGUUCAUUAGGCUUGAAUCCGAGUGUAAUCCAUGUUGUUCAUAUUAUUUGAGGUGAUUUAAGGAUUCGACUAAGUUCAUAUCGGGUUAUAAGACUUGUUGGUAUGUUUGGUUGAGGUCCCGGAGGCCUCGAGGUGAUUUCUGGUGGUUAACGGACUUGAUUUUUGAGUUGAUGAAGCAGCUGAAGUGUUGAUGCUACUGGUGUAACUACACCUGCGGAGUGGGCAAUGCAGGUGCGAGUCCGCAGAAGCGUGGCAAGAAUCGCAGAUGCGACCAAGGAUGAGACAUGCAUAGUCCGGAGGUGCGAAGAUCUUCCCACACCUUCAAUGAUCGCAGAAGCGCGCACUAGGGCCCAAAUGCAAGCGUGAACCGCAUGUGCGAUUUAUUUCAUGCACCUGCAAUAAGCGCAGAUGUGGUCCAGUGAUCGCAGGAGUGGAGGCAGCUAGAUAAGUGACUUUUGCAGAAGUAGGAAUUUUUCCGUAGAUGUGGUUCUGUAGAUGCGGAUAUAGGGCCGCAUGUGCACAAAUCUUGGGCAGAACAUAUAAAUACGAGACUUCGAGAUUUUUCACCACUUUCAUAUUUUGGAAUCGAAUUUUGGAGGAAUUUGAGGUGGAUUUUGAAGUGAUUACUAAGGUAAGCUCCUUGUGCCUAUUUAUCUUCAAUAAUGGUAUUUACUCACUGAUUUUACAUCUAGUUGAUGAGUUUUUGAGGUGAAAUUUGGUAAUUUAAGGCUUAAGAAUUGGAGAGUGAAUUUUGGGGAUUUGGAGGUCCAAAUGGUGUCUGAUUUUGAUAAAUUUAUUAUGGUUAGACUUGUGAGUGAAUUGGCUUUCGGGUUUUGUGACUUUUGUCGGGUUUUAUGAUGUGAGACCGGUUUGGGUUAAGCCAAUUUUGGAUUUUUGGCUCUAAUUUAGUAGUUUUCUUGUGGAUUUGAUCCCUUUAGCCUAUAUUAAUUAUAUUGUACUGCUUGUGUCUAGAUUCGUGAUAUUCGCAGACCGACGCACGAGGCAAGGGCAUUUUAGAGUAGAGUUUGCCUCGCACUGAGGUAAGUAGCAGUUAUAAAUUUGGUCCUUAGGGUACGAAACCCUGGAUUUUUGUGUCAUGUGAUUAUUUUGGAGGUGACGCACUUGCUAUGUGAUAGGCGUGUGGGCGUGCACUAAAGGGAUUAUGACUUGGUCUAUUCCGUGAGAAUGUAAAGUCGAAUAACUUACUGUUAACUACAUGAUCCCUUCGUUUUAUGGAAAUUUUGACUGAAAUUCAUGUUAAAAAUCAUGCUUAGGCCAUAUGAUAUCACUUUUGGGACUCGUUGAGGUCAUGCACUUGUUGAUUUAGCUACUAUUUGUUGUCUUGUAAUCAGUCAUGACGUUUACUACGUAUCAUACCUACAUAUCUUUUUGUUCCUUGUUGAUACAUGUUUUACUUCUGUUUGGGAUGAUUUCUAUGAUUUCUGAGAGACUGAGAGACUAGGGAGGUUAAUGACUGAGCAAGGCCGAGAGCCUGACGGUGAGAUAUUGAUACCAUAGCAUGUGAGUUGUCUGUGUAGCAUGUGAGUCGUCCGUGUGGAUCUUGAUUUGAUAUGUUAGCACACUACUAAAAAAUUGGUCUAUAGUAAUGGUUGGAAAACCAUCCCCAUAGACUGCCAAACCGUUGCCGUAGGGAUUUUGGAACAGUUUACCGCCCGUUACAUCAGCCGGCGUACUCAUAGGUCUACUGGAACGGUUCUUGCAACAGUUUGCAUCGCCGGGACAAUAGAUAUGUCUAUCACAACGGUUUUCCGCUUCUCUGUUGGAACGAUUUUUUUUUUCAAUUGGAACGGUUUAAAACCGUUACUAUAUUGUUUAUACCACGGUUCUUAACCGUUGCCAUAUUAUUUAAAGCAAUACUUAUGUAAGAUAUUGCUACGGUUAUGUUAGAUAUAGCAACGGUUUCUUUAAGCUAUCGUAACGGUUAUAUUUGUAUUUGGAACGGUUUUGUAGAUCAUUUUGGAAUAGUUUAUGGGACCUAUUGCAAUGGUUUACAUUGUCUACUGGAACACCAUUUGUAUCCUAUUGCAACGGUUCAGGUAGGCUAUUGUAUCAGUUCAAUUAAAACCAAAAUAGAGCACAUAUUAUAAAUAAAAUUUAUACAUAUAAUAAAAUUAAAAUUUAAAUACAUCAUAAAAUGAAACUAUUAAUAAUAUAAAAUUAUCCAUCAAGCAAAUAAUAAUAUCCAUAAAGUAAAUGUUCUGCCCCAUGAGUGCAUAAGUAUAGUACAUUUCAAGAGGUUAAAUAAGUUUCAAAAAAUGUUGGUAACAAAAGAUUCCUAGAACAUUCAUCUAUAACAAUUCAAAAUUAUCUCAAGUAAGGUAUAGUUCUUCAUCGUCUUCAUCAUCCAUUUCUUGAUUUACUCCACCUACAAAAAAGGAUAAAUAAAGUUAUUAUCCUUCAAGAGAAUCUGGUCUAAGAAUACUCAUAGCACAAAUUGCCAUGAAAAAGAGAGAGAGCUACUAUUACAGAGUGCAAAAAACCUUUUCUUAGUCAGUGUACUAAGAAAUGAGUUUCAAUAGCAGCAAGUUAGUUGUAGGCUUGUAGCCAUGUUUACUUCUCCUGUUUUGCUUAAGAAUAAACAUUGAAUUUACUUUUUAUGUCCAGGGUUUGAUAUAUAGCAUUAUUCAUAGCAUUUCUUCAAUCUACAAAAAAGGGCAGCUCGAUGCACUAAGCGCUAUACGCAGCCUUACCCUGCAUUUCUGCAAGAGGCAACAACUUUACUAGUUACGCCAAAGCUUUCCAUCAUGUCUUCAAUCUACAGACUAAACAAAUUGAGAUUUCCAAAACAUUUUCUAACCAUUUCUUAAGUCUAAGGAGAAACAUAUAUAAAAGAUUCCAACAACAAAAUGUGCAAGUUUAACAAGGUAGCCUCAUUAUUCUUAAGUCGAAAAUUGAAAAUGAACAAAAAUUAUAUGAACAAUAUCUCCUGAACAAUUUUAAGUUUUAUAAGUAAAAAUGAUUAUUUCACUCGAAAUACUUCUCAAACAAGCUUUUCAAUAUUUCACCAGUAUUUCAACUACCGAAAUUCAGUAUUUGCAAAUAUUAGACAUCAAUAUAAAGAUCAUGUUGGGAGUUGAAAACCUCUUCUACUUGUUUUCCUGCUAUCAAGAAAAUGCCUUGUGACAACUCAUAAAGUACUUUAAUUUUCAUAAUGCGAAAUUGUUUAAGAAAGUAAAUAUUAAAAUAGUAUCCUCCCCUUAUAAAAGGCCAGCAGUUUUAGCUAUCUCUGUUCUCAGAUCUACCUUCAUCCUGUCAUAAGACAAUACUCCAACAAAAAAAUGGAGCACAGGGCUUCUAAUUUUCUAUUCUUAUUCUUACAAAUAUUUUUGGGAUUUUCCCUUCUCGUUUCCACCAUCGCAGUUCCUUCUUCAAGUAAGUCAUAAAUAAAUUCAUUCCUAUUAUUGUUUCUUUUCAGAUAUUGCUAAUUUAAAUUCCUGGCAGAAAUUUGUAUCUUGUGGUGAUAAUUCACAGGAAGCCUAAAGACAAUUACAGAAAAUCUACCAUUCCAAGAUUCUCAUUACAAGGUUCUCUUUCUUCUAUCUUGAAUCCUAUUUACUACCGUAAUUUCUUUCCAUAACCUACUUGCUAUUUAAAAAAGUAGCCAAUGCAUUUCAAUGAUGUAAUCUUCAUUACAAGCUUGCCCUAGGAUAUGCAUUUGUAAAUGCUUAAUCCACAAAUCUUUUACAUAUGUUUUUCUUUAACUGAUCAAAAACUCGUAUAUGCAUUUGUAAAUGCUAAUCCACAAAUCAGAAACUAUAAGAAAGUUGUUUGUUCAGUUUGUAAGAGCCAUGUAUAUUAUCUCUCUAAAGUGUAAAGCCUUAACUUGUGUAAGAGAUAUGUGAACUUCAAUGUAAUCUCUGUAGCAGAAAAGGAGCUUUCUACAACAACUAGGUAGGUGGAUCUCUGAUCCAAUUUCAAUCAGUUUAGACAUAAUACAUAAACAUAUUGCAUGCAACAGAUAUAACAUUAUAGCAGAGACAGUAAACAUAUGAUAUAAAUGUCAAUAUAACUGUACAAAGACAUGAUAAUACAGCCGUAAGGACUGCCUAGUGAAAAUGGAAAAUAUGGCAAUUCAUAUCCCCUCUGCCUUGAACCAAGCAAAAUCCCAAGCAAGGAAGGAGGAGAAGAAGAUGUAUAACAUUUGGUACGUACUGACCUUGAUUGUUACUACCAGUAUACGGUAGACUGUUUAGUUGAACAGCAGCUUGUUGUGUAGAGGAAGCUUCUACAGGUGAACGUGCACUGAACCUUAACAUGUCAGGAUCAAGUCGCAAAUCUGGGUGCAGAAGCUGAAGUCGUGCGAUGACGUUUAUUGUAAUAUUUUGUUCCAUGGCAUCCUUUUGUUCGUUCAACUUUUCAUGCAUUCUUUGUUGCAUCCUCUCUCCCAUUUCCUCCAUUUUCUACUUCAUCCUCUCAUCAGACCUCGUCCAUACAAUCUCACGCGACCUGGAUGUUCAGGUCCCAUGACUGAUGCAAAAGCGUCAUCUGAAUGACUGCCAUCUUCACUUUCCUGAGUUGAUUGUAUUCUCUCCAUUUCAGCCUACAAACCAAAAAUGCGAGAAAAAUACGUUUUAAGUAACUAAAGUUGAAUCAAUAAUUAAGAACAAAUAAGUAAGCACGACAAACUUUAAAUUAGAAAUUUCGUACAAUUUUACUAAUCGUAUUGUCAUAUGAGCUUUUGUAUACUCGGCCAAGUUUUCUUUUUCAUGUAGCCACAAAUAUGUCCUUACUUGAUACAGUAUCUGAAGUAUCAGAGAUUUCCUUUUUUUCCUAGUUAUAUGAAAACAGGUAUAAGAAUCUUUCCAUAUAAAGUUAGCAAGUUCAUAAUUUAAAAAAAAAAAAGAAAGAUAAAACAUCAAACCUCGCGAAUUAAAGCAAAAUGUGUUCUGCCAGCAGUGUGCGGACACUUUAACUUAUUUCUAUUCUCUGUAUUGGUUUCAAACAUUUUCUGCAAAUAAAUGAGUCAACCAAUAGGUGAUUGAUUUACUGCAAUUGGGAAAGCUUAUAAUGGAGAGAGUGAGACUCCGUGUUUCAUACUCUCUUUUACAGUCUCUUCUUAUAAUAAACCACCCUAUCAAUUUAGUGGAACAUCUCACAACAACUGCAGUCACCACUGAUGCCCAGUUUUUGUUCCUAUUGGAAAUUUCUUUACAUUUCCACUUCUUUAUUGACUAAAAAGAAAUUGAUUUUGUUUUGUUAUUCCUUUUUCACUGUGUUAUUUAUCUUGUCUACCUUAUGAAAGAGGUCCCAGGUUAGUAUAAACCUGCAUCUCCAGUGGACUGACAUAUUUACUUGUUUAAAUCUGGGCAGAAAUUGGACAGAAACUUGGAAUUUUUCUGAAAAAUAUUCGCUAGCAUUUCGGUACUUUUUGGACGUUUAAAAGAAAAAGAAAAAGAAAAAGAAGAAGAAGAAGAAGAAGAAUAAGAAGAAGAAGAAGAAGAAGAAGAAUGAAAAUAAAAAGUGCAAAAGCAAAACAUACCUGUUGAAACUUCAAAGCUGUUGUUGUAAUGUUGAAGAAAAAGAAGAAGAAGAACCCUUACUCGACCAAACUGACUAGUAGUAGUACUAAUUUACUAUAGAAACAUUUCAAACAUAACAUGGCAGGGCGGAAGAUUGGGGAAAAGCAAAUGGUCAGAUUCGGUACUAUUUUACUUCUGAUUCUUUUGACUCAGACACCAAAAAACAAUUAUGUUAAAACAAGACAAGAGAUUCUAGAUGUAAUUACCUUGUGAGGAUCGGAGUUCCAAUAUUUAAGAAUAUCCUUAAAGUAAAAUUUCAGAAUAUCUACUGGUCUAUUCUCCAUUCGAAGCUCAUCAUUCUCAUAGGCUGUGAAGUGAGUUGUCUUCAAUUGACUCUUAUACUUUCUCCAAGCAAUACAAACUGAUUCAAAAACCCAUGGUUUCGCCUCGUCAAGAAUGUCAUAUUUUUCCUACAAAUUUAGUGCAAUUGGGUUAGUGUAAGAAAUAAGAAAUAUCAUCCAUGUUUAUUGGACAUUGGGAACUUCAUAUCUUGAUAUAUUUCCAUAUAUCAUCUUUUGUGUCAAGUUUCCUCCAAUUAAAUACAUUAAGAGGACAAAAAGUCCCACUUCUUGCCAAUGUGCCGAGGAAGCUAUCCAACUCUUUUACAACCUCUUUAGUAGGACCAACGGGUUGAUUAUACUCAUUUAGAAUCCUUUCUACCAUGAACCCUUGGCAUUUGAGUACGGCCUCUUUUUCUUUUUGGCGAGGAGGGGCCUGCAAUAUAACAAAACAAAGAUAAUCAUUAAUCACUAUUUUUAGUUAAGUUUAUGAUUAAAAUUUAUAUAUAUUUGCCUUGUUCCAUAAAUUGUUCAACUGUUUCAUGAGUGGUAGAAUCAUCAGAUCGUUCAUGUACUCCCUGUGAUGCAGGAGUGAUGAAAUCCAUAUUCCCUUGUUGCACUUGUUCAUGUACUCCUUGUGUUGCUGAAGAGGUGCGAUUCCGUGGCACUUGCUAGACUUGUUCUUGCAAUUGAGAUCCACCUUCGGAUUGUCGUUCUUCAUUUGCAUUUGACCUUAGAUCUUUCAAGGCUGUUUUUAUUGUCAAUGACGAAACCUUUUGGUUUCGCAAAGAUGAAGGUAAUCCACCUUCUGAUUGUCGUUCUUCAAUUGCAUUUGAUCUUGUAGAUUGGAAGGUUCUUUUUGUUAUCAAUGACAAAACCCUUUGAUUUCGUAAAGAUGCAAGUGAUCCAGCUGGAAUGCGGUUGGAUAUUUUCUUAUUUUUGCUUGAGCACCCUUCUUGAUUCAUGACUAUUCAAAUAUUUUUCAGAUUCU